RNAcentral lists this ribosomal RNA (492 nucleotides) under uncultured bacterium. RNAcentral's name for it is "partial 16S ribosomal RNA". It matches the Rfam family "Bacterial small subunit ribosomal RNA", at positions 29 to 507 of the family's 1533-position model. The record is from RNAcentral.
AGUGAACGCUGGCGGUAGGCCUAACACAUGCAAGUCGAACGGCAGCACGGUAAGAGCUUGCUCUUACGGGUGGCGAGUGGCGGACGGGUGAGGAAUACAUCGGAGUCUACUUUUUCGUGGGGGAUAACGUAGGGAAACUUACGCUAAUACCGCAUACGACCUACGGGUGAAAGCAGGGGAUCUUCGGACCUUGCGCGAUUGAAUGAGCCGAUGUCGGAUUAGCUAGUUGGCGGGGUAAAGGCCCACCAAGGCGACGAUCCGUAGCUGGUCUGAGAGGAUGAUCAGCCACACUGGAACUGAGACACGGUCCAGACUCCUACGGGAGGCAGCAGUGGGGAAUAUUGGACAAUGGGCGCAAGCCUGAUCCAGCCAUACCGCGUGGGUGAAGAAGGCCUUCGGGUUGUAAAGCCCUUUUGUUGGGAAAGAAAAGCAGCAGGUUAAUACCCCGCUGUUCUGACGGUACCCAAAGAAUAAGCACCGGCUAACUUCGUG